Canis lupus familiaris (dog) is the source of this 645-nucleotide long non-coding RNA. RefSeq lists it as uncharacterized. NCBI's taxonomy places the organism in Eukaryota, Metazoa, Chordata, Mammalia, Carnivora, Canidae. The transcript is spliced from 3 exons. The record is from RefSeq and is a predicted model, not a curated record.
UACUUAAAGGAGCUGAUGAGUAAACAGAGAUACACAGACUCUACUGGAAAUUCAUAGUCAACUAGAGGAAAGAACAUAGAGAAAUCAAGUUCCCCUCUCUCUGGCUUUUCUGCAUGGGGCUAACUACAGUGAGAACAGUUAUAGAAGAUGAAUCACAAUUUUACUGCAACAAACUUCAUUUAAUGCCCAGUUAUCCACCAGUGAAUAAGAUGAAUGAGUGUGGGAAAAGAAAAAUCAACAGACUAUGAUUCAAGAUUUUCCGACUCAGCUCCCAGAAAAUGCGAAAUACAAAAGUUAUAGAAAAGUGGUGCAUCUUCUGGAACAUACUGAACCACAGACUCUUUAGGGACUAGUAAAUGUAUACUGUCUAUCAAAGCCUAUAAACCCCGAAGAUUUUUUUUCCAUUAGAGAGUAACAGUAUCCAGAAUUUACCUGGACAUAUAAAAUCAAGUAAUUUUUAAGUACUUCAAGAAGGAAAAAAGUCGAAGAAUUUUCCUUUUACUUUUGUUUGUAGUCAGCACAUCAUCAGCAUUUCUACAUCAAAGACUGGAGGAAAAGAGAAGCUAAAAAUUCUAAGUUCAAUGCUUAAAUCUUUUCUGUGUGUGUGCCUAUCCUAUACAUUAAUUACUAUUUACUUUGGUAAGU